This 464-nucleotide ribosomal RNA is filed under the name uncultured bacterium. RNAcentral's name for it is "partial 16S ribosomal RNA". It matches the Rfam family "Bacterial small subunit ribosomal RNA", at positions 28 to 507 of the family's 1533-position model. The record is from RNAcentral.
GACGAACGCUGGCGGCGUGCUUAACACAUGCAAGUCGAACGGAAAGGCCCUGCUUGCAGGGUACUCGAGUGGCGAACGGGUGAGUAACACGUGGGUGAUCUGCCCUGCACUUCGGGAUAAGCCUGGGAAACUGGGUCUAAUACCGGAUAGGAGCCAUUUUUAGUGUGAUGGUUGGAAAGUUUUUUCGGUGUAGGAUGAGCUCGCGGCCUAUCAGCUUGUUGGUGGGGUAAUGGCCUACCAAGGCGGCGACGGGUAGCCGGCCUGAGAGGGUGGACGGCCACAUUGGGACUGAGAUACGGCCCAGACUCCUACGGGAGGCAGCAGUGGGGAAUAUUGCACAAUGAGCGCAAGCCUGAUGCAGCGACGCCGCGUGGGGGAUGACGGCCUUCGGGUUGUAAACUCCUUUCGCUAGGGACGAAGCUUUUGUGACGGUACCUAGAUAAGAAGCACCGGCUAACUACGUG